CGCUGGCGGCAUGCCUAACACAGUGCAAGUCGAACGAGACCUUCGGGUCUAGUGGCGCACGGGUGCGUAACACGUGGGAAUUUGCCUCGGGGUAUGGAAUAACUCAGGGAAACUUGAGCUAAUACCAUAUAAUGUCUUCGGACCAAAGAUUUAUCGCCCUGAAGAUAAGCCCGCGUAGGAUUAGCUAGUUGGUGGGGUAAAGGCUCACCAAGGCGACGAUCCUUAGCUGGUCUGAGAGGAUGAUCAGCCACACUGGGACUGAGACACGGCCCAGACUCCUACGGGAGGCAGCAGUGGGGAAUUUUGGACAAUGGGCGCAAGCCUGAUCCAGCAAUGCCGCGUGCAGGAUGAAGGCCUUCGGGUUGUAAACUGCUUUUGUACGGAACGAAACGGUGAGCUCUAAUACAGUUUGCUAAUGACGGUACCGUAAGAAUAAGCACCGGCUAACUACGUG
RNAcentral lists this ribosomal RNA (454 nucleotides) under uncultured bacterium. RNAcentral's name for it is "bacterial SSU rRNA". It matches the Rfam family "Bacterial small subunit ribosomal RNA", at positions 34 to 507 of the family's 1533-position model. The record is from RNAcentral.